UGCAUAUCUACAACAAGCAUGGCUUCC
This 27-nucleotide non-coding RNA is filed under the name Rattus norvegicus (Norway rat). Lineage: Eukaryota; Metazoa; Chordata; Mammalia; Rodentia; Muridae. The record is from RNAcentral.